CUGGCGGCGUGCCUAAUACAUGCAAGUCGAACGGUCUUUCUAUGGAAGCUUGCUCCACUGGGAAGAUAGUGGCGGACGGGUGAGUAACACGUGGGUAACCUGCCCAUAAGAGGGGGAUAACAUCCGGAAACGGGUGCUAAUACCGCAUAGUUUUCUUGAUCGCAUGGUCGAGAAAGGAAAGACGGCCUUUGUGCUGUCGCUUAUGGAUGGACCCGCGGCGUAUUAGUUAGUUGGUGAGGUAACGGCUCACCAAGACGAUGAUACGUAGCCGACCUGAGAGGGUGAUCGGCCACAUUGGGACUGAGACACGGCCCAAACUCCUACGGGAGGCAGCAGUAGGGAAUCUUCCGCAAUGGACGAAAGUCUGACGGAGCAACGCCGCGUGAGUGAAGAAAGGUUUUCGGAUCGUAAAACUCUGUUGUCAGAGAAGAACAAGUCGGAGAGUAACUGCUCCGGCCUUGACGGUAUCUGACCAGAAAGCCACGGCUAACUACGUGCCAGCAGCGGC
Molecule: ribosomal RNA, 508 nt
Filed under: uncultured bacterium
Lineage: Bacteria
Description: bacterial SSU rRNA
Rfam family: Bacterial small subunit ribosomal RNA
Source: RNAcentral